This 468-nucleotide ribosomal RNA is filed under the name uncultured bacterium. Its description in RNAcentral is "partial 16S ribosomal RNA". It matches the Rfam family "Bacterial small subunit ribosomal RNA", at positions 28 to 507 of the family's 1533-position model. The record is from RNAcentral.
GACGAACGCUGGCGGCGUGCUUAACACAUGCCAGUCGAACGGAAAGGCCCUGCUUUUGUGGGGUGCUCGAGUGGCGAACGGGUGAGUAACACGUGAGUAACCUGCCCUUGACUUUGGGAUAACUUCAGGAAACUGGGGCUAAUACCGGAUAGGAGCUCCUGCUGCAUGGUGGGGGUUGGAAAGUUUCGGCGGUUGGGGAUGGACUCGCGGCUUAUCAGCUUGUUGGUGGGGUAAUGGCUUACCAAGGCUUUGACGGGUAGCCGGCCUGAGAGGGUGACCGGCCACAUUGGGACUGAGAUACGGCCCAGACUCCUACGGGAGGCAGCAGUGGGGAAUAUUGCACAAUGGGCGGAAGCCUGAUGCAGCAACGCCGCGUGCGGGAUGACGGCCUUCGGGUUGUAAACCGCUUUCGCCUGUGACGAAGCGUGAGUGACGGUAAUGGGUAAAGAGGCACCGGCUAACUACGUG